This is a small nuclear RNA of Argiope bruennichi, 110 nucleotides long. NCBI's taxonomy places the organism in Eukaryota, Metazoa, Arthropoda, Arachnida, Araneae, Araneidae. The record is from RefSeq and is a predicted model, not a curated record.
AUUAUAUUCGCUUCGAUAAUGCAUAUUAAAACUGCAACGAUACAAAGAAGAUUAAAUAGCAUAAUCCCUGCAGAAAGAAGAAGCAAAAUCGGAAAGCUUUUAACAUUUUU